UCUGGCCCCUGACUCUGGGAUAACAGUUGGAAACAGCUGCUAAUACCGGAUACGAGCUUCGAAGGCAUCUUCAGAAGCUGGAAAGAACUUCGGUCAGGGAUGAGCUCGCGGCCUAUCAGCUAGUUGGUGAGGUAAUGGCUCACCAAGGCGUCGACGGGUAGCCGGCCUGAGAGGGUGACCGGCCACACUGGGACUGAGACACGGCCCAGACUCCUACGGGAGGCAGCAGUGGGGAAUAUUGCACAAUGGGCGCAAGCCUGAUGCAGCAACGCCGCGUGAGGGACGACGGCCUUCGGGUUGUAAACCUCUUUUAGCAGGGAAGAAGCGAAAGUGACGGUACCUGCAGAAAAAGCGCCGGCUAACUACGUGCCAGCAGCCGCGGUAAUACGUAGGGCGCAAGCGUUAUCCGGAAUUAUUGGGCGUAAAGAGCUCGUAGGCGGUCUGUCGCGUCUGCUGUGAAAACUGGAGGCUCAACCUCCAGCCUGCAGUGGGUACGGGCAGACUAGAGUGCGGUAGGGGAGAUUGGAAUUCCUGGUGUAGCGGUGGAAUGCGCAGAUAUCAGGAGGGAACACCGAUGGCGAAGGCAGAUCUCUGGGCCGUAACUGACGCUGAGGAGCGAAAGGGUGGGGAGCAAACAGGCUUAGAUACCCUGGUAGUCCACCCCGUAAAACGUUGGGAACUAGUUGUGGGGUCCAUUCCACGGAUUCCGUGACGCAGCUAACGCAUUAAGUUCCCCGCCUGGGGAGUACGGGCCGCAAGGCUAAAACUCAAAGGAAUUGACGGGGACCCGCACAAGCGGCGGAGCAUGCGGAUUAAUUCGAUGCAACGCGAAGAACCUUACCAAGGCUUGACAUAUACGAGAACGGGCCAGAAAUGGUCAACUCUUUGGACACUCGUAAACAGGUGGUGCAUGGUUGUCGUCAGCUCGUGUCGUGAGAUGUUGGGUUAAGUCCCGCAACGAGCGCAACCCUCGUUCUAUGUUGCCAGCACGUAAUGGUGGGAACUCAUGGGAUACUGCCGGGGUCAACUCGGAGGAAGGUGGGGAUGACGUCAAAUCAUCAUGCCCCUUAUGUCUUGGGCUUCACGCAUGCUACAAUGGCCGGUACAAAGGGCUGCAAUACCGUAAGGUGGAGCGAAUCCCAAAAAGCCGGUCCCAGUUCGGAUUGAGGUCUGCAACUCGACCUCAUGAAGUCGGAGUCGCUAGUAAUCGCAGAUCAGCAACGCUGCGGUGAAUACGUUCCCGGGUCUUGUAC
RNAcentral lists this ribosomal RNA (1253 nucleotides) under Microbacterium sp. ZB6101. RNAcentral's name for it is "bacterial SSU rRNA". It matches the Rfam family "Bacterial small subunit ribosomal RNA", at positions 125 to 1386 of the family's 1533-position model. The record is from RNAcentral. Lineage: Bacteria; Bacillati; Actinomycetota; Actinomycetes; Micrococcales; Microbacteriaceae.